This 5151-nucleotide long non-coding RNA is filed under the name Sus scrofa (pig). RNAcentral's name for it is "lncRNA (ENSSSCG00000043518.2)". Lineage: Eukaryota; Metazoa; Chordata; Mammalia; Artiodactyla; Suidae. The record is from RNAcentral.
GAGCAGCGGUGACUCCUAUGUUACCGGACAUAGGGAACUUCUCAGACAUCUGAGAUUACAUUUCAGCAGGAGUCAACCUAAGGUUUGCCCUCUACCAUCACAGAUAACUUAGUAAUAAUAGGAAAACUGUGAAAUAUCAAUUGUUUCAAAUGAACAACCCCUCCCCAGUUGGGAAUUGAUGACACCUUCAGUUUCCUCCUAUUCCAUCCCAUUUUGGUAAAAUGAACAGAUGUGCCUAUUAAAAAGUGAGUGCCUUAGAUCACUUAGUGGUAAAACCAAGCAGUAGAUGUUGCUGGCAGAAUAAAUUUCAAAAUAAUUCACCUGGGAGGUGAAAUGUGGCCUCUAUCUCCUCAUCGGUCUUCUCUUUUAUCUCCUUGGGGACCCUCCUCCAGUCCAAAUAGCCAAACUGGCUUUUGUUUUGGUGCUUUCAUAACUAUGCUUAUCCUGUUCCUUCCUGCAUAGCAUUCUCUGCCCAACAUCUCCAUUUACUAGUUGAAUUUUUUCUGACUGUUGAACUUCUCUUAUCAUACUUGUCUCAGCACAGAUGCUUAAGUUUGUCUGUAAAUACACCCUAGAUUUUCCCUAACCAGAAUGAAUUACUCUAGCUCUCUAUGAUUUGUAUCUAUAUUCAGCCUUUAGAUCAUUUGUUUUAUGCUUAGUAUUUUCCCUGGCUGACUCCUGUGUUCUGUUUAAAUCUGUUUCAGGUCAUGAGCAGUCUCUUAGUGCCCUUCAUAAGGGCAGUAUCUGUGUUUGAAAUAAGUUGAACCUUCAGCAGUUGGACUCACAUAGAGCAUUGUCUCCUCCACUGAGGUCCAUUCUGAAACAAGGAUUCUCCUUGGAACUCCAGGGACAGAACUUCCUGUAAACAUCUGGACUGUCCCCCCUGUGUGACCCAGAUGAAAAAAGAUGACCAAGGGCUUUCAGCCUCACUUAUGGGAGAGAGUGGAGUUGGGGGUAAGAGGAGUCCAAACAGAGAUUCUUAUAAUUUUCUGCAAAGAGGAAGCUUUGGAAACUGACUAAGAAUCUGUGUAAACAUAGUGAGUAAACAUGCAGACCAUUUCUCAGAACAAAAUGUGUGGACAGGGUUCCUCUGUUCUGUGGAUCCAAAGUGCCUCAUGAUGCUAAGGCAAGGUGGAUGGUGGAGACUUAGAAUGAACACAGACAUUUUCCAGGGGAAUAUUUUAACUUCCAGCCAAUCCUUUUCUUUUUAGGAUUUAACAUCAAUAUGAUCAUUUUCACUUUACAGAUGAAUGAAUUCAGGUGCAGACAUUGUGGCUCUCAGGUUUGCCCCAUGCAUCUGUGCUAAAGCCGGGGGAUGGCCCUCACCUCUCAGCAUUACCAAAUGAGCUUUCAGGCUAAUGCACUCUGAACUGGCAUCGUCUCCCAGUUGUGAGUGCUUUGAAAUAAAACAGAAGCUAUGCUACAGCUGAACAAUUCAAAUCAUUGGCAGAAAGUGUGGUAGGUAAAUGGCACUAUGAAAAAUGAAAAGCAUCUUGUUUCCUGUGAACUAAAAAUGGAUAGGUCCAAUUAUUGCCCCUUCCACACAUGAAGACUGCACAAAGUUAGUUAAUUAUAAAUAAUUCAUCCAACCAUAGAAGGGAUGAGCUAUAUGUUAUAUUACUGAGCUUUAAAAAUCUUUAUGAGUGUAGCAAGAGACACAUAUACCAACAGCUGCUAAAUUCAGAAUCCUGGGGCAGUAUCUUAUUUUAAUAUAAGGGAAGAACCACACAGUCUAUCGCUCUAGGGAUUUCCUGCUAUAUAAAAAGACCUUAAAUCUACAUGAGAUUUUACUCGUGAUUUCAAAGCACUUAAUAAAAAGCUGUUUUGUUUUGUUUUUUAAUUUGAAUAUCUUUUAACUCUACCCCCAGCCACACUAUUUACAACACAGAUAAUGCUUUCUGGACUAGAUUGCCCAAGGCAGAGGCUUCCUUUUUUCCUCCUGCCUAUUUCCUUCUUUACUUUUUUCUUUUCUUUUCUUUUCUCAUCCUUUCUUUUGUUAAAUUCUUCAACACCUAGCUCAGAGCCCAGCACUUUGUGUUGUGUGUGCAUUGACCGUUGAGCAUGAAUGAUCACCCUCACUGCCAGAAGAGUAAAAAGUCAUAAACAUCGGAGUGGGUUGCUGAGCUCUGAGCAGAAUCAGAAGCUCUAAUUCUCCCAGUGGCUCUGCGGAACUUCUGCCUACUGCACAAUCAGGAGUUGGAGCUGUGUCUUGGGGUGACUUAAUUCAAGUAAAACCUCAGACUGGGAUGUCAGCCAGCAUUCUAAGGAGAACUUCUGUAAGAAUGUUAUGUCUUAAAAUACGUAAAUUCAAGUUCUGAGCCUUAGAACAUAAGGCAAAUAGUACCUUGCCUUACAGAAGGAUAAAGUACAAGCAAUAAAACAAGCCAAGUUGCUGCCUAAAGUCCCUUGACUGAAAUCAUAUUUGUCCAUGAUCUCUUAUUUUGGUGGACCUUUAAUAACUGGGACAAGGAUAUUGAAGAACUAAUUGCUGUGCAUUCAGCAACUGACUGUGCGUGGGUCUGCAAGGCAUGCAACCCAUGCUUGUGCAGAACUUGGAAACUUGAAUCUGGGGAAGACUUAGUUUUUCAAACUCUUGCCAUAGCCCUUCCUUGAUAGGGUUUUACCUAUGAGAGCUCAGAUGCAGAUUUCUUGAGCCACUUAAUCAAGGCCAGAUGUAUACUCUAUUCAUCCACUAGCACUGUUAGGAUGAGUUUUGCCCCAGAGUUUGGGGAGAGAUAAGCAGCUGUGAUUGUACAGAAACAGACACCAAACUUAAGCUGAAAAUUUUACUGCACAAUUGGCCAGCAGUAGUAGGCCACACCAAUAAUAAAGACAAAACCACCAAUUUAAAGCAGCAGUAGAAUCUGGGAAAUGCUCUUUCUGCAAUUGCUUUGAAUACAAAACAUCUCAGAAUUACAGGGAUUUUGCCUGCAGAGUUGCUAAUGAAGAUGUGGCUGGCAGUGUCCCUCGAGUUUGUUUAUCCAGCUGUACAAGAGUCUGUAUGACAGUAACUGGAUUUAUAAAAAUUUAAAAAUACCAAAGCCAACUUCUGAAGAAAGAAGUUUCCCCUAAGUCCACUAAAACCUUGUAUUUAUAAAUGAGAAGCUUUAUUGCUACCACAUCUGCUUAUGUAUAGGUGUGCUUUUACUUGAAAGAAAAUUGUAGACAAGGUGAAACUUAAAAGGGGAGAACAAGAUGGGCCCUUCUUCUUCCUCCCCCUCCCUGUACCAGAGGUCAACUAUGGGGUGGGGGAUAAUUUUGCCCCUCAGGGGACAUUUGGCAGGGUCUGUAAUUUUGAUUUUGAUUGUUACAUUGUGGGAUGAGGAACUGCUGGCAUCUAGAGGCCUGGAACACUCUUGAGCAUCCUAGACUGCACUAGACUGCACUAGACUGCCCCUAACCCCAAACAAAGAAUUUCCAGCCCAGAAUGUCAGUACUACAUUCUGCCCUAGCCCACUGACUCCAAAAAUUGAGUAUGUGCAAAUUGUUGGUAGUUGUUUAAAUCAGAUCUUGAAUUCUCCCCUGGUUUUUCAAUCAGCUUUUGGCCAUUAGUUCCAGAGACAGCUGUUACCAGAUUUGUUCACACAGGGCCUUCUGUUUAGCAGAUCUUGGGUCAUUUAUCUUCCCUUGACCAAAGACACCACUAAACCUAGCUAUUUCACCUCAAAUGAAAGCCUAGGCUAGGUUUCCAGGUACAACUGGCAAUAAAUCAAUGACUACAAAACAGUAAGGGGAAAAUGUGACUUUAGGGUUAUCAGAAAUCCCCUGCCAAUGUUAAAAAAAUCAUAACCCUUCACAAACACACAAACCCCUCAAACGUUUUUUUUAAUUAGCUGAGUUUUUUUCCCUUUAGGACAAUGUUUUUCAAAUUAAAAUCCUGAACCCUCCAGUAUCAGAAAGACCAAGGUGUUAUUAAAAAUGUCAGUUUCUCAAAUCUGUCCGAACCCUCUGGAUUGAGAAUUCUCGAGUGUAUGAAUUUGGUAAUCUCCGCCUUUAAAAUGCACCUGAGGUACACACCAAAUUUUGAGUUACUGUUCUAAGGCAAGGAUUCUCAUUCUUUUCUUCCCUACACAACUGUGUGUGUGACUUUGGGGGUCUCUUUGGAUGUGUACCCAAAACAUCCCCAGGCUGACAGGAGCACAGAGACCAACGGGAUAGAAGUUGGUGUUGUAGAAUAACCCAGAGACAUGUGGGUAACUAUUUCACAGCUAGUUUAAUUAUUUUAUAUGCUAAUUGUUUAUUCACACCUGAGAGGGUGAGGCAAAUAGUAUUUCUAAAACAAAAAGGAAAGAAAAGACAAUCUAGUAACGGUGGAACUUGUAUUACAUGUUUUGGGGGCAAAUUGAUUUAAGUGAAAGGUAGCAGAGAAGUUUGUACUGGGGCCUUGAGUGGCCAACUGCAAUUCUUUAUGGAUUCCCCAGAAAGCAGCUGGGAGCUGGGAGCAGAUGUGACAGGCCAUCCCUAUGUGGUGUCAGCCAGUGACCUCCCCCAGGGCUGUCACCUUAGGUUUAGCCUGCACCAUGUCCUCACUGAAAAGCUGCUAGGAGGUAGGGUCCCUCUUUCCAUCUAUCUAAGGCCAGGAGUCAUCUCUUUGCUUCUGAGCACUUGCUUCAUUUUUGUCUUUUCUGAGGAUCAGCUUUAUCAGAUCCUUCAUGGGGACAUGACUAACCAUGGCUGCUCUUCAGCUCAAGUUUAUAUCAUCUUGAUUCUACCAGUGGGCAGGAAUAAUUUUUUGAACUCCACAUUCAAAGUCUCAGGAGACAAAGAUGAUUGCACAGCACGGCUAGGGUUCCAUCGCAACUCGCACAGUGAUGGAAAGCCGUUCAGGGUCAAGUCGAUCGAACAUAGCUUAGGGGCUGACGUGUGGGUUUAAGAUAUCAGUCAUCAUAAGAGAACAGAACUGGCUCACAUCUAAAAAGUAUCUGCUAGAAAAUGACCCACCAGGGAGUUCCUGUUGUGGCGCAGCAGAAAUGAAUCCAACUAAUAACCAUGGGGAUGUGUGUUCGAUCCCUGGCCUUGCUCAGUGGGUGUGAGUCGCAGAUGCAGUUGAGAUCCCACGUUGCUGUGGCUAUGGUCUAGGCCAGCAGCUGUAGCUCUGAUUUGACCCCAGCCUGGGAUCUUCUAUGUGCCACAGGUGCAGCCCUAAAAACC